AACGAACGCUGGCGGCAUGCCUAACACAUGCAAGUCGAACGAGACCUUCGGGUCUAGUGGCGCACGGGUGCGUAACGCGUGGGAACCUGCCCUUAGGUUCGGAAUAACUCCCCGAAAGGGGUGCUAAUACCGGAUAAUGUCUUCGGACCAAAGAUUUAUCGCCUUUGGAUGGGCCCGCGUUGGAUUAGCUAGUUGGUAGGGUAAAAGCCUACCAAGGCGAUGAUCCAUAGCUGGUCUGAGAGGAUGAUCAGCCACACUGGGACUGAGACACGGCCCAGACUCCUACGGGAGGCAGCAGUGGGGAAUAUUGGACAAUGGGCGAAAGCCUGAACCAGCAAUGCCGCGUGAGUGAUGAAGGCCUUAGGGUUGUAAAGCUCUUUUACCCGGGAUGAUAAUGACAGUACCGGGAGAAUAAGCUCCGGCUAACUCCGUG
RNAcentral lists this ribosomal RNA (433 nucleotides) under uncultured bacterium. RNAcentral describes it as "partial 16S ribosomal RNA". It matches the Rfam family "Bacterial small subunit ribosomal RNA", at positions 29 to 507 of the family's 1533-position model. The record is from RNAcentral.